GUCUACGGCCAUACCACCCUGAACGCGCCCGAUCUCGUCUGAUCUCGGAAGCUAAGCAGGGUCGGGCCUGGUUAGUACUUGGAUGGGAGAUUUUCCAGAGGACCUCUGUGUUUCUUUAACCU
Molecule: ribosomal RNA, 122 nt
Filed under: Neogale vison (American mink)
Lineage: Eukaryota; Metazoa; Chordata; Mammalia; Carnivora; Mustelidae
Source: RNAcentral